Molecule: unclassified non-coding RNA, 1435 nt
Filed under: uncultured Neocallimastigales
Lineage: Eukaryota; Fungi; Neocallimastigomycota; Neocallimastigomycetes; Neocallimastigales
Description: partial contains small subunit ribosomal RNA, internal transcribed spacer 1, 5.8S ribosomal RNA, internal transcribed spacer 2, and large subunit ribosomal RNA
Rfam family: Eukaryotic large subunit ribosomal RNA (bases 660-1435)
Source: RNAcentral
UUUCCGUAGGUGAACCUGCGGAAGGAUCAUUAAAAAAUAGGACUUCCAAUGGGAGUUCAUUAAUAAUCCUACCCUUUGUGAAUUUGUUUGUUUGAAAUAAUUUUUUUUCCAAAAAAUUAUUGAAUGUCUUUCCCUGUUUUUGGUUGAAGCGUAAAGGUGGAGACCAAGCAGGGAAUGGCAAACAUUAGUUUUUUUGAAAAAAGACCUUUUUUUAAAAUUAAACUUCUUGUAUUCAUUUGUCUAAAAUUAUUUUUAUAAUAUAAAAACAACUUUUGACAAUGGAUCUCUUGGUUCUCGCAACGAUGAAGAACGCAGCAAAAUGCGAUAAGUAAUGUGAAUUGCAGAAUACGUGAAUCAUCGAAUCUUCGAACGCAUAUUGCACUUUUUUAGUUUACUAAAAAGUAUGUCUGUUUGAGUAUCAGUAAAAUAUUCUCAUAAAAAACUUUUUUGUUUUUUAUGGCUAUGAGUGUUUUACAACGAUAAACAAGUUGUUUCACUUUAAAUUCUUUGAAAUUUAAAAAUCGUUAAAACUAAUUUUAAAAUGAUUUUUUAAAAUUGGAUAAAAUUUUCCCGUAAAAAGGAAUAACCUAAACAAUUUUAAAAAAUUUAAAAUUGGUUGAUUUUUUUAAAUCCCAAAAGGAAAAAAGUAAAAAUUAACUUGAUCUCAAAUCAGAUAAGAGUACCCGCUGAACUUAAGCAUAUCAAUAAGCGGAGGAAAAGAAACUAACUAGGAUUCCCUCAGUAACGGCGAGUGAAGCGGGAAGAGCUCAAAUUUGAAAUCUUCAAGGUUCUACCUUGACGAAUUGUAGUUUAAAGAAGUGUUUUCUGUUGGAAUAGUUUGGUAUAAGUUCUUUGGAAUAGGACAUCAUGGAGGGUGAGAAUCCCGUAACGACCAUUUAUUCCAGCUCUGUGAUACACUUUCAAAGGGUCGGAUUGUUUGGGAAUGCAGUCCAAAAUGGGUGGUAAAUUUCAUCUAAAGCUAAAUAUUGGCGAGAGACCGAUAGCGAACAAGUACCGUGAGGGAAAGAUGAAAAGAACUUUGAAAAGAGAGUUAAACAGUACGUGAAAUUGUCAAAAGGGAAGCGUUUGACACCAGUGUUGUUUUCUCGAAAAUCAAUUAAAAAUGGCUUGAUUUUGUGUAAGGCGACCUUAUCAGCGUUUUGCACUCUUUUCUUGUCCUUUUUUAAUGCACUUUUCGUUUAACAAGUCAACAUCAAUUUCUUUGUUGUAAAAGAGUCAUUGGAAGGUGGCUUCUUUUCGGAGAAAGUGUUUAUAGCCUUUGGCUUCUGCAAUCGGAGUGAUUGAGGUCUGCAGCGUAGAUCCUUCGGGUUAGGUGCAUUAGUGCUAAGUUAUAGCCUUUCAUAGACAACUUGUUGACUAUGAUCAGUCAUGUAGCUUACUCGCUGAUGUUAUUGUACCUACGCUUAGGAUGUUG